This 492-nucleotide ribosomal RNA is filed under the name uncultured Planctomycetota bacterium. RNAcentral's name for it is "bacterial SSU rRNA". It matches the Rfam family "Bacterial small subunit ribosomal RNA", at positions 64 to 507 of the family's 1533-position model. The record is from RNAcentral. Lineage: Bacteria; Pseudomonadati; Planctomycetota.
GAACGAGGGAGUACUCCGAAAGGGGUACAAAUCGAGUGGCGUAAGGGUGAGUAAUGCAUUGAUAACCUACCUUUGAGAUGGGAACAACAGCGUUCCAAGCAAUUGGAGCUACCGAAAGGGCUGCUAAUACCCAAUAAAACUAUUAUUGCUUUGGUGAUGAUAGUCAAACGUGCGGAAUCGAAAGGUUCCGUUUGCUCAAAGAGGGGUCAAUGUCCUAUCAGCUUGUUGGUGGGGUAAUGGCCUACCAAGGCGAAGACGGGUAGCCGGCCUGAGAGGGUGGUCGGCCACACUGGGACUGAGACACUGCCCAGACUCCUACGGGAGGCUGCAGUCGAGAAUCUUUCGCAAUGCCCGCAAGGGUGACGAAGCGACGCCGCGUGCGGGAAGAAGGCCUUCGGGUUGUAAACCGCUGUCGGGAGUUAGGAAGUGCAAGGAUGUUAAUAGCGUUCUUGCUUGACUAAGGCUCCGGAGGAAGCCACGGCUAACUCUGUG